AUUUCUUUUUAUAUAGUUUAAAAAAACCAUUACAUUUUCAGUGUAAAAUUAAAUUCUAUUUUAUAA
This 66-nucleotide transfer RNA is filed under the name Leptolycini sp. UPOL 000592. Its description in RNAcentral is "tRNA-Glu". Lineage: Eukaryota; Metazoa; Arthropoda; Insecta; Coleoptera; Lycidae. The record is from RNAcentral.